UAUUGCACAAUGGGGGAAACCCUGAUGCAGCGACGCCGCGUGAGCGAUGAAGUAUUUCGGUAUGUAAAGCUCUAUUAGCAGGGAAGAACAUGACGGUACCUGACUAAGAAGCACCGGCCAAAUACGUGCCAGCAGCCGCGGUAAUACGUAUGGUGCAAGCGUUAUCCGGAUUUACUGGGUGUAAAGGGAGCGUAGACGGGGUGGCAAGACUGAUGUGAAAACCCGGGGCUCAACCCCGGGACUGCAUUGGAAACUGUCAAUCUAGAGUACCGGAGAGGUAAGCGGAAUUCCUAGUGUAGCGGUGAAAUGCGUAGAUAUUAGGAGGAACACCAGUGGCGAAGGCGGCUUACUGGACGGUAACUGACGUUGAGGCUCGAAAGCGUGGGGAGCAAACAGG
RNAcentral lists this ribosomal RNA (397 nucleotides) under uncultured bacterium. RNAcentral's name for it is "bacterial SSU rRNA". It matches the Rfam family "Bacterial small subunit ribosomal RNA", at positions 362 to 776 of the family's 1533-position model. The record is from RNAcentral.